This 497-nucleotide ribosomal RNA is filed under the name uncultured bacterium. RNAcentral describes it as "partial 16S ribosomal RNA". It matches the Rfam family "Bacterial small subunit ribosomal RNA", at positions 28 to 507 of the family's 1533-position model. The record is from RNAcentral.
GACGAACGCUGGCGGCGUGCCUAAUACAUGCAAGUAGAACGCUGAAGGAAGGAGCUUGCUCUUUCUGGAUGAGUUGCGAACGGGUGAGUAACGCGUGGGUAACCUGCCUGGUAGCGGGGGAUAACUAUUGGAAACGAUAGCUAAUACCGCAUAAAAUUGAUUAUUGCAUGAUAGUCAAUUAAAAGGUGCAACUGCACCACUACCAGAUGGACCUGCGUUGUAUUAGCUAGUUGGUGGGGUAACGGCUCACCAAGGCGACGAUACAUAGCCGACCUGAGAGGGUGAUCGGCCACACUGGGACUGAGACACGGCCCAGACUCCUACGGGAGGCAGCAGUAGGGAAUCUUCGGCAAUGGACGGAAGUCUGACCGAGCAACGCCGCGUGAGUGAAGAAGGGUUUCGGAUCGUAAAGCUCUGUUGUAAGAGAAGAACGAGUGUGAGAGUGGAAAGUUCACACUGUGACGGUAUCUUACCAGAAAGGGACGGCUAACUACGUG